RNAcentral lists this ribosomal RNA (253 nucleotides) under uncultured bacterium. RNAcentral's name for it is "partial 16S ribosomal RNA". It matches the Rfam family "Bacterial small subunit ribosomal RNA", at positions 524 to 776 of the family's 1533-position model. The record is from RNAcentral.
UACGGAGGGUGCAAGCGUUAUCCGGAUUCACUGGGUUUAAAGGGUGCGUAGGAGGGCAGGUAAGUCAGUGGUGAAAUCUUCGAGCUUAACUCGGAAACUGCCAUUGAUACUAUAGGUCUUGAAUUAUCUGGAGGUGAGCGGAAUAUGUCAUGUAGCGGUGAAAUGCUUAGAUAUGACAUAGAACACCAAUUGCGAAGGCAGCUCACUACGGAUUUAUUGACACUGAGGCACGAAAGCGUGGGGAUCAAACAGG